This is a long non-coding RNA of Lolium rigidum, 275 nucleotides long. RefSeq lists it as uncharacterized. The record is from RefSeq and is a predicted model, not a curated record. The transcript is spliced from 3 exons. NCBI's taxonomy places the organism in Eukaryota, Viridiplantae, Streptophyta, Magnoliopsida, Poales, Poaceae.
AGUCAUGUCAAUACUUCGGAGUUCUGAUAGCUGCAUCUUGGAGUGUUUGGCCAUUUGAGCAGCGCACCAACGAAGCUGCAGACCACACACUACCUUGGUUGUCGGUAUUGUUCUUUGAAGCAAGGUGUCAAGUUGCCCUUAAGGACACAAGGGAAACAUCAGAACAUUAGAUGUCCAAGGCAUGGCAUCGUGCACUUGGAGAUGCUGGGCUUGAAGAAGAGCUUUGCCACUCUGGAUCAACCUCGCCACCAAGAACUUUUUAUUUUAUUUUUGGC